This 603-nucleotide long non-coding RNA is filed under the name Elaeis guineensis (African oil palm). RNAcentral's name for it is "long non-coding RNA (EGUI_LNC032327)". Lineage: Eukaryota; Viridiplantae; Streptophyta; Magnoliopsida; Arecales; Arecaceae. The record is from RNAcentral.
UGAUCCAGACUUCUUUCAGAUUCAACAGACUGAAUUUUGGAGAAUCAAAAUUCAGAUUAUAGAGGGCUGUUCCUGACUGAUUCUGAAUGAAUACUCAUAGAGGCUGGAUACUUAUGUGGCUAAUAGAGAGCCUUGUCUCUUCCAGAUCUAGUUUUGAAAAAAAGGAUUGCGAAAUGGGUAUCUAAUUUGAUCACAAUCUGAAUUUCACCACAUAUCAAUUUCAGCAUAUGAGAUGGAUCCAUGUGAUUUUAUGUUUUUAUGCAUGUAUAAUUCAAAUUAAAAUUAUUUUAAUCUUAUUCUCUACUAUGGUAUUUAAAAAAUAAAAAUUUUGAAACACAUAUGCAUGCACGAAACUCCGAAUUCCAACAAUGGUAUCAAAGCCACGGAUUUUCAUAUACUGAAUUUUGAUAUAUAUAUUUUUGAAAAGAUUUCAAAAUCAAUUUUUUUCUUGAUACAUAAGAUGUAUGGAAGGAUCUUCAAAUCUAAAAUUUAAUUUUGGAUUUAGUUUUAGAACAUAUAGUUGAUAUAUUAUUGCAUACAUAGAUCUGAAGUUUGAUCUAGAAAGAGUUCUAGUUAAUGUUCAUGUGAAAUAUAGAUGCAUGC